Molecule: long non-coding RNA, 712 nt
Organism: Orcinus orca (killer whale)
Lineage: Eukaryota; Metazoa; Chordata; Mammalia; Artiodactyla; Delphinidae
Exons: 6
Source: RefSeq, a predicted model, not a curated record
GUGCCCGCGUCCUUACCCGCUACGGCGAUCGCCUCCUUCCGGCCCGGUAGGGCCGCCUGUGGGCUGACGAUGUUGGAGGCGGAGUUACCCAUUCUCUGGAAGAGCUGGUGGGCCGUCCUGGUGGCGGCGAGCAUGGAAUAAGACAGAAGUGAUGGUGUGUGACCUCUGAGACUAAGCCAUAGAAGGCAAGGCAGCUUCCUUCUUGCUCACUUUUGGAUCACUCCCUCUGGGGGAAGCAAGCUGUCACAUCAUGAAGAUUCUCAAUCAGCCCAAUGGAGAAGCCCACAUGGUGAGGAAAGGAGGUCUCCUGCCAACGGCCAGCUUUACCAUGGAAUAAUUGAUAUCCAAAAGCUGCACGUAUUUAAUGGAUAAAUUUGAUGAGUUUGGACCCAUGCAAACAGCCGUAAAACCAGCAGCACAAUCAAGGUCGAAGGUUUGUGACAUCGUGCAUCCAACAGCAUUUGCUCCACUUCGUAUCUCUGUGUCGCACUUUGGUUGCAAAGCCUCUACAAACCCAUUUCUGAAGUCAGGUGGUGACACUGAUCACCUGGCAGGCUGAAUAGGAGGAAGCCAGCCUAGCGUUUUCUGCAGAACAGCGCCUGGAAAUGACAUUGGGGUCCAGUGACUGGUGGGAGACCCAGAGCGAGGUGAAGAUCUGGAUUCAGGAAGAUGUUAUGGAUAGUUCUAAAAAUAAAUAUUUCCACCAAGUGUA